Molecule: long non-coding RNA, 230 nt
Filed under: Mytilus galloprovincialis (Mediterranean mussel)
Lineage: Eukaryota; Metazoa; Mollusca; Bivalvia; Mytilida; Mytilidae
Source: RNAcentral
ACACAUUUAAGCUAUCAAGUGUUAUUGUUGGCACCUAUUAUUUAUGUAAAUCAAAAGAAAUAGGUUCUUAAUAUCGAAGACUUUAUAAACCACUUGUCUAUUUGCCACAUGCUAACAUAGUUGGGACUAGCUCAGAGAGCAAUUACUAUUAUCCUAUGAUAAUACUCAAUUCAUAAGACCAAGUGUUUAAGUAUUAAAAAGAUAACACACACAUACAUACAGAAAAAGAC